Molecule: long non-coding RNA, 1102 nt
Organism: Oncorhynchus tshawytscha (Chinook salmon)
Lineage: Eukaryota; Metazoa; Chordata; Actinopteri; Salmoniformes; Salmonidae
Source: Ensembl
UGUGUGUGAUUGUGGGUGAGUGUGGGCAUGUUGUUGUGUGUGAUUGUGGGUGAGUGUGGGCAUGUUGUUGUUUGUGAUUGUGGGUGAGUGUGGGCAUGUUGUUGUGUGUGAUUGUGGGUGAGUGUGGGCAUGCUGUUGUGUGUGAUUGUGGGUGAGUGUAGGCAUGUUGUUGUGUGUGAUUGUGGGUGAGUGUGGGCAUGUUGUUGUGUGUGAUUGUGGGUGAGUGUGGGCAUGUUCUUGUGUGUGAUUGUGGGUGAGUGUAGGCAUGUUGUUGUGUGUGAUUGUUGGCGAGUGUGGUUAUGUUGUUGUGUGUGGUUGUGGGCGAGUGUAGGCAUGUUAUUGUUUGUGAUUGUGGGUGAGUGUGGGCAUGUUGUUGUUUGUGAUUGUGGGUGAGUGUGGGCAUGUUGUUGUGUGUGAUUGUGGGUGAGUGUGGGCAUGUUGUUGUGUGUGAUUGUGGGUGAGUGUGGACAUGUUGUUGUGUGCUAUUGUGGGCAAGUGUGGGCAUGUUGUUGUGUGUGAUUGUGGGUGAGUGUGGGCAUGUUGUUGUGUGUGAUUGUGGGUGAGUGUGGGCAUGUUGUUGUUUGUGAUUGUGGGUGAGUGUGGGCAUGUUGUUGUGUGUGAUUGUGGGUGAGUGUGGGCAUGCUGUUGUGUGUGAUUGUGGGUGAGUGUAGGCAUGUUGUUGUGUGUGAUUGUGGGUGAGUGUGGGCAUGUUGUUGUGUGUGAUUGUGGGUGAGUGUGGGCAUGUUGUUGUGCGUGAUUGUGGGUGAGUGUAGGCAUGUUGUUGUGUGUGAUUGUGGGUGAGUGUGGGCAUGUUGUUAAGUGUGAUUGUGGGUGAGUGUGGGCAUGUUGUUGUUUGUGAUUGUGGGUGAGUGUGGGCAUGUUGUUGUGUGUGAUUGUGGGUGAGUGUGGGCAUGUUGUUGUGUGUGAUUGUGGGUGAGUGUGGGCAUGUUCUUGUGUGUGAUUGUGGGUGAGUGUAGGCAUGUUGUUGUGUGUGAUUGUUGGCGAGUGUGGUUAUGUUGUUGUGUGUGGUUGUGGGCAAGUGUGGGCAUGUUGUUGUUUGUGAUUGUGGGUGAGUGUGGGCAUGUUGUUGUGUGUGAUUGUG